CAUGUCCUUUUGAGUAUAAUUUAAGGUCUGACCUGCCCAAUGAGGAUUUCAAUGGCCGCGAUAUUUUGAUCGUGCGAAGGUAGCAUAAUCAUUAGUUUCUUAAUUAGAAGCUUGUAUGAAUGGUUGGACGAGGGAGAUACUGUCUCUAUAUAAUUUUUAUAGAAUUUUAUUUUUAAGUUAAAAAGCUUAAAUUUUCUUUAAAGACGAGAAGACCCUAUAGAGUUUUAUAGUUUGUUUUUAUUAGAUGAAUUAGGUAUUUGUUCUUCUUUUAUUAGUUAAUUAUUUGGUUGGGGCGACAGGAAAAUUGAUUUAACUUUUUCUUUAUAGCAAUACAGAUGAGUAGAUUAUUGAUCCUUUUAUUAAGAUUAAAAGAUUAAAUUACCUUAGGGAUAACAGCGUAAUCUUCCUAGAGAGUUCUUAUCGAAAGGAAAAGGGUUGCGACCUCGAUGUUGGAUUAAAGUUAAUUUUUGGUGCAGAAGCUGGGGAUAUUAAGUCUGUUCGACUUUUAAAACUUUACAUGAUCUGAGU
This 528-nucleotide ribosomal RNA is filed under the name Julodinae sp. IR-2002. RNAcentral's name for it is "partial 16S ribosomal RNA". It matches the Rfam family "Bacterial large subunit ribosomal RNA", at positions 1816 to 2610 of the family's 2925-position model. The record is from RNAcentral. Lineage: Eukaryota; Metazoa; Arthropoda; Insecta; Coleoptera; Buprestidae.